GAUAAACGCUGGCGGCGUGCCUAACACAUGCAAGUCGAACGAUGAAAAUUAAAAGAUUUCUUCGGAAUGAACUUAAUUGGAUUAGUGGCGGACGGGUGAGUAACGCGUGAGUAACCUGCCUUGUACAAGGGGAUAGCCGUUGGAAACGACGAAUAAUACCCUAUGACAUCAAAUAAUCGCAUGAUAAUUUGAUCAAAGAUUUAUCGGUAUAAGAUGGACUCGCGUCUGAUUAGCUAGUUGGUAGAGUAAAAGCCUACCAAGGCAACGAUCAGUAGCCGGCUUGAGAGAGUGUACGGCCACAUUGGGACUGAGACACGGCCCAGACUCCUGCGGGAGGCAGCAGUGGGGAAUUUUGCACAAUGGGGGAAACCCUGAUGCAGCGACGCCGCGUGAUUUAGAAGGCCUUCGGGUUGUAAAAAUCUUUUGUAUGGGAAGAAAAUGACAUUACCAUACGAAUAAGGACCGGCUAAUUACGUG
Molecule: ribosomal RNA, 477 nt
Filed under: uncultured bacterium
Lineage: Bacteria
Description: partial 16S ribosomal RNA
Rfam family: Bacterial small subunit ribosomal RNA
Source: RNAcentral